UCCGGUUUGACACCGGCAGUCUCCCUAGAGUGCCCGGCUUUACCCGCUGGUAACUAGGGACGAGGGUUGCGCUCGUUGCGGGACUUAACCCAACAUCUCACGACACGAGCUGACGACAGCCAUGCAGCACCUGUGCACGCUGGUAUUGCUACCUCGUCAGGCUUUCACCCUUCUACUACGUGCAUGUCAAGGCCAGGUAAGGUUCUUCGCGUUGCAUCGAAUUGAGCCACAUACUCCACCGCUUGUGCAGGCCCCCGUCAAUUCCUUUGAGUUUUAGUCUUGCGACCGUACUUCCCAGGCGGAGUGCUUAAUGCGUUAGCUUCGGCACCGCGGGGGUCAAUACCCACGACACCUAGCACUCAUCGUUUACGGCGUGGACUAC
Molecule: unclassified non-coding RNA, 382 nt
Filed under: uncultured bacterium
Lineage: Bacteria
Description: contains 16S-23S intergenic spacer region
Source: RNAcentral